AGCUGAAUGAUGAUCAUCAAGGGACUUAAUACUGAUCAUGUAUGAUGUCACCUUUUGAACUAUCUGACAC
This is a small nucleolar RNA of Amphilophus citrinellus (Midas cichlid), 70 nucleotides long. Its record names the gene SNORD82. It matches the Rfam family "Small nucleolar RNA SNORD82". Rfam says of the family: snoRNA U82 or Z25 is found in both humans and mice. U82/Z25 is a member of the C/D class of snoRNA which contain C (UGAUGA) and D (CUGA) box motifs. Most of the members of the box C/D family function in directing site-specific 2'-O-methylation of substrate RNAs. The record is from Ensembl. NCBI's taxonomy places the organism in Eukaryota, Metazoa, Chordata, Actinopteri, Cichliformes, Cichlidae.